Molecule: long non-coding RNA, 373 nt
Organism: Neopelma chrysocephalum (saffron-crested tyrant-manakin)
Lineage: Eukaryota; Metazoa; Chordata; Aves; Passeriformes; Pipridae
Exons: 2
Source: RefSeq, a predicted model, not a curated record
GAGCCAUUACUGGUCUGUACUGGGAGCUGUUACUGGUCUGUACUGGGAGUCAUUACUGGUCUAAACUGGGAGCUGUUACUGGUUUGCACUGGGAGAAGUUACUGGUUUAUACUGGGAGCCAUUAUUGGUUUGUAAUAGGAGCUGUUACUGGUUUGUACUGGGAGCUCUUACUGGUCCGUACUGGGCGCCAUGACUGGUCUAUACUGGGAGCUGUUACUGGUCUGUACUGGGAGUUGUGACUGGUGUGUACUGGGAGCGUUACUGGUGUGUACUGGGAGCGUUACUGGUGUGUACUGGGAGCGUUACUGGUGUGUACUGGAGUGUUACUGGUCUGUACUGGAGCGUUACUGGUGUCAAUAAAGGUGUCAAUGGA